UAACGAAUCUUCCCCAAUGCACGCAAGUGUGAGGGAGCGACGCCGCGUGGAGGACCAAGUCCUUCGGGAUGUAAACUCCUGUCAGGGGCUACCAAGUUCUGAGGAGCCCCAGAGGAAGGCACGGCUAACUCUGUGCCAGCAGCCGCGGUAAGACAGAGGUGCCAAGCGUUAGGCGGAAUCACUGGGCUUAAAGCGUGUGUAGGCGGAAGCGUAAGUGCCUUGUGAAAUCCCACGGCUUAACCGUGGAACGGCUGGGCAUACUGCGUUUCUUGAGCCAGCCAGGGGUCGUCGGAACAAACGGUGGAGCGGUGAAAUGCGUAGAUAUCGUUUGGAACGCCAAAAGGCGAAAGCAGACGACUGGGGCUGAGCUGACGCUGAGACACGAAAGCCAGGGGAGCAAACGGGAUUAGAUACCCCGGUAGUCCUGGCCCUAAACGAUGUCCACUGGAUCGUGGUUCCUCUGAAGGAUCCACGGUCGGAGCAAAAGUG
This 489-nucleotide ribosomal RNA is filed under the name uncultured bacterium. RNAcentral describes it as "bacterial SSU rRNA". It matches the Rfam family "Bacterial small subunit ribosomal RNA", at positions 355 to 859 of the family's 1533-position model. The record is from RNAcentral.